AGCAACUCAUGCAUACAUAGAUUCAUUCUCAUCAUACUACCCCUUUUGUUAUAAUCACAAGUUCUACCCCCUUUUAUUAUCAUCUCAAAAUCAAAGCAAACCCCUCACAUCACUCACCCAAUGAACAACUCUCUUUUUCUUUUGACUCAACUACUAGGGAUUUUAAUUCACUCUUUACAAACUCUAACUUUUUUUCAUUCCCUUCCCCAACUUCUCUAUGAUUUUUUAUUUUUUUUAUAUUUGUUUUUAUUAGGGGGAAGGUUCUUUGUUACAUAAUCAAGAGUUUCACACCUUUUUUUUUUUAUCCCUAGAGUUUUCAUUUCUAUUUAAUCUCUUUUGCUCAUCUCUCUUAUCUUUCUCACUCUCCAAAACCCAAGAUAUUAACAUUUAGAACACAUAAACCCCUCUCACCAUCCCCAAAUGCUAGCUUAUUUUGCUAGCAAGAGAUGAGAACAAAUCUAUGUCGCCUCCAAUACUC
This 478-nucleotide long non-coding RNA is filed under the name Brassica napus (rape). Its description in RNAcentral is "long non-coding RNA (BNAP_LNC012050)". The record is from RNAcentral. Lineage: Eukaryota; Viridiplantae; Streptophyta; Magnoliopsida; Brassicales; Brassicaceae.